Molecule: ribosomal RNA, 381 nt
Filed under: Bacillus thuringiensis
Lineage: Bacteria; Bacillati; Bacillota; Bacilli; Caryophanales; Bacillaceae
Description: partial 23S ribosomal RNA
Rfam family: Bacterial large subunit ribosomal RNA
Source: RNAcentral
GAAACAUCUAAGUACCCGGAGGAAAAGAAAUCAAUUGAGAUUCCCUCAGUAGCGGCGAGCGAAAGGGGAACAGCCCUUAAGCUGUGGUGUAGUUAAUGGAACGGUCUGGAAAGUCCGGCGAUACAGGGUGAUAGCCCCGUACAUAAAAACUUAUCUACAGUGAAAUCGAGUAGGGCGGGACACGUGAUAUCCUGUCUGAACAUGGGGGGACCAUCCUCCAAGGCUAAAUACUCUCUACCGACCGAUAGUGAACCAGUACCGUGAGGGAAAGGCGAAAAGAACCCCGUUGAGGGGAGUGAAAUAGAACCUGAAACCGUAUGCGUACAAGCAGUGGGAGCCCCUUCGGGGGUGACUGCGUACCUUUUGUAUAAUGGGUCAGCG